GUCUUGGCCUGAUGCCGAGACCCUCUCUUGUUCUACCUCUGCCCUCCCACAGCUCUGGCUCUCCGGGUAUCCUAGCACUGUCACUGCAUUGAGCUGAGGUUGCAUGUGUUCUCAGAGAAACCUACUGCCUGCCUCUAGAUUUAGAGAUAUUAACAAUUCAGAGGAGGAGAGAAUGGAGUUUGUAUCUCUUUGCCACUUGUGAGAUAUAGAUUUGUACAGAUGUGUCCCUGAAGCCAUAUAUCCAGAUCUGUUUUAAACUUGCCAUCCUGUUUCCAUAUUCCAGAACAAACAUUCGAGAGAGAUGGGAGAAAACAAUCAAGAAUUUAUUUUUGAAUUUAAUUAUUCAUUCAUAUGUUUAACAAAGGUUUAUUAAAUACUUACUGAGGGCAAGAAACUGUGUAGGCAAAAUAGAUAAGAAUUGAACAGCGGCCUUCCCCUCAAGGCACUUAGUUUUUCCGGGUGGACAGGUUCAUAAACAGCUAACUGGAAUGUAUCGCAGUAAAUGUUUAAAUAAAGGUACAUGCAAGGUACUUAGGGACCACAGAAUAGGAUGUAAGUAACUGCCCUUCAGAGCUGCCAAGGGAGACUUCUACAGUGGUGGUGCUGUCUGAGCCGGAGUUCUGGGUGAGCAGUUCACAGGCAGAGGCAGGAGUGGGCGUCACAGGCCAGAAAAGCAGCAAAGGCAGAAGGGCCUGAGUGAGCCCGCACAUGCUGGGAAGAGGGCGAUGCAGCAUUUCUGGGGCCCGGAGUGCAGAUAGGAAAGAGAUUGGAAAUGAAAUUAGAAAGGUGCUGGGGCUUGCACAGUGAAAGGCCCCAAAUACCUGGAAGACUUUGGGCUGGCUUGAUACUUAGGGUAGACAGUGGGAGAGGGGCUAGCAAAAAGUUUCUCAGCAGGGCAGUUAAGGCAAAGAAGCAAAAUUACAUGUGGCUUUUAUUGGACAUUUGCAGUGGUAGCUUCGGAGGGAGAAACAAGGCUUUCCCAGGAUGGGUGUCUUGAUUGCCUGGGUUAUAGUCCUGCCAUUGGCUGGAGAGCCUACCUUGGGAGAACUUGGUAGUUAAGAACCAGGCAUGGAGUCACACUGGUCAGUUUGAGUCCUGGUUCUGACAUAUGCUAGCAGAGGAACUCUUGAGCAAGUUACUGAAUGUUUUUGUGCCUCAGUUUCCUUACCUAUAAAAUCGGGGGAUAUAAGGUUGUUUUUAAUUUAAAUGAACUAGAAUGUAAAAUGUUUCUCAGGUUGCCUGGCCUAGUAACAACUCUUUUAGCAUUUGUGAGUAUUAUUACGAUCAUUAUUGUUGCUGCUGCUGUUACUGCUACCAGAAUUGAGGUGGGAAAUUAAGAGACAUAGUACUCAGAACCUGGAGGGCUGUGGCAUUUAAAUAUCUACUGGGGCCAGGCGCGGUGGCUCAGGCCUAUAAUCCUAACAGUUUGAAAGACCAAGGCAGAAGGAUCACUUGAGGUUCGGAGUUCAAGACCAACCUGGGCAAUAUAGCAAGACCCUGUCUCUACAAAAAAAAAAAAAAAAAGCGUGUACUGGGCCUGAUAUAUUGGAGCUUUAGGACCCAGUUUAAGCACUAGGAGAUCUGGGCAUUGUGGUGCAUGCCUGCAAUUCACGAGGCUGAGGUAGAAGAAUCACUUGAGUGCAAGAGUUCGAGUCCAGCUUGGACAACAUAGUGAGAGCCUGUCUCUUACACACACACACACACACACACACACACACACUAGGAGAGUUUUGUGGUUUUUUUAAGUAAAUAAAGAACAUGUUUUGAACAUGCUUCCCAUGGGUCAUGCAUAUAGAGCAGUUACUUGCAGCUUUCCCUAUCUUGACAAUGCUCCAAAGUUCAUGGACUUUCUGCUUAGUACUUGGAUAGCAUGGUAAGGAAGCAUCUUAACCAUGGCAGUGUUGAGUGAUGAGCACGGGGCCUGAGGCAUCGUAAGCACCCAGCAAAUGUUUACUCAACUGUCUCUUUCCACCCAAGAGCCUUGAGGUGAAUUUAACAUUUCUGUCUGAACUUACCUCGCCUGCCUCCAGGAUGUGGAAGUUAAGGUUUUUUUGUUGUUUUUUUUUUUUUUGUAUUUUAGUGGAGACAGAGUUUCACUUUGUUGGCCAGGAUGGUCUUGAUUUGCUGACCUCAUAAUCCGCCUGCCUUGGCCUCCCAAAGUGCUGGGAUUACAGGCGUGAGCCACUAUGCCCGGCCCAGCUUUAUUUUACCUGUACAUGCAGAUAUUAGUAGUUUUUAUUUAAUUUAAGCACUUGCUCUGAAAGUGCUUUUUUUUUUUUUUUGCCCUCAAGGUAGGUUUAUUUUACUUGUACAUGCAGAUACCUUGGGGGCAAAAAAAAAAAAAAAAAAAAAAACGCUUUCAGAGCAAGUGCUUACAUUAAAUAAAAACUAGUUGUUUUAUUAAAUUUACCAGAGAAUCACAGGUAAAUCAGUUAAUCCUGCCCUGUUUUCAGAUAAGAAAGCCAUGCCCCAUUAUGAGGAAAUAACCUCUCGGUGUCAGAUAGUAAGAUCCAGAACCUGACCUCCUACAUCCCCUGGUGUUGAAUGAGUGUCUUGUUGAGGCAGGGGUGAGAGACAUCAGCUAGUUUGGAUGUGUGCAUACAAUGUGAGAGUACCCCAAUUUGAAGCUUUCAUGAGGAGGAACAGUUAGUUGUCCAUUCUGGUUCAGCUGGUAGUGGCCUCCUUUGCAUGGACUGCAGGUCCCGCAGCCCACUGACGAAUAAGCUUUUGCUUCAGCUGAGGUCCAAGCCUACUGACAAUACCAUGCGCAGAUACGCAGAUGCAACUUGAUGAACUGUUACACACGUGUGUGCGCGGUUCCCAGUGCCAGACCAAGAAAGAAAAUGUAGUCAGCACCAAAAGGCCCCUCCCCGCAGUCCCUGCACUUAAGAAUAGAUACAAAGUCCACUUUUUGUUUUUGAGCGUCAUGUAAAUGAAAUCAUACAGUGUGUAUGAUUAGCUUGGCUUGUUGGCAUGUGUCUGUAGUCUCAACUACUUGGGAGGCUGAGGUGGGAGGAUUGCUUGAGCCCAGGAGGCAGAGGUUGCAGUGAGCCAAGAUUGCACCACUGCACUCCAGCCUGUGUGACAGAGCAAGAGUCUGUCUCAAAAAAAAAAAAAAAAAAAAAAAAAAAUGGAAGUAUGAACCUUCCAACAUUUGUGUGGCUAAAGUACUCUGCUGAGGACCAUGCAAAGAUGUGCCAUAAUGUAAGCACCAUCUACUUUUAAACAUGUUGGUUGUCCCCAUUUUCCAUGAUUACCCUCAUGUGGUAGAGGGCAUUCUUGUAUUUUUAUGUGUAUGUGUACUUUGUAUCUCAUGUGUCCAUAUUCGCAUGCUUGUCCAGUUAUUUUCCUUGGGCAUGUUUCUGUGUCAAACAAUAUAUGUGCUUUUCAAGUUUUGGGUCCGGGCAUGGUGGCUCAUGCCUGUAAUCCCAGCACUUUGGGAGGCGGAGUUGGGCAGAUCACCUGAGGUCAGGAGUUUGAGACCAGCCUUGCCAACCUCGUCUCUACUAAAAAGACAAAAUUAGGCCGGGCGCGGUAGCUCACACCUGUAAUCCCAAUACUUGGGGAGGCCGAGGCAGGCAGAUCACCUGAGGUCGGGAGUUCAAGACCAGCCUGACAAACAUAGAGAAACCCCAUCUCUACUAAAAAUAUAAAAUUAGACAGACAUGUUGGCGCAUGCCCGUAAUCCCAGUUACUCGGGAGGCUGAGGCAGGAGAAUCGCCUGAACCCAGGGGGUGGGGUUAUGGUGAGCUGAGAUCGCGCCAUUGCACUCCACUCUGGGCAAUAAGAGCGAAACUCCGUCUCAAAGAAAGUUAGCUGGGUGUGGUGAUGCAUGCCUAUAAUCCCAGCUACUCGGGAGGCUGAGGCAGGAGAAUCACUUGAACCCAGGAGGCAGAGGUUGCAGUGAGCCGAGAUUGCACCAUUAUGCUCCAGCCUGGGCAACAAGAGUAAAACUCCGUCUCAAAAAAUAAGUAAAAAUUAGAAAAUAAAGUUUUGGGAAGUCUCGCUGAAUGCCUUCUAGCAUGAAUAUCCUGGUUUACACGCUGUCCAGCACAAGACAGUUGCCCACUCCUCAGACUUCAUAAUUCAUAAGCACUAGGCAUUAGUGCUCUCAUUAAUCUUUGUAAACACAAGAGAAGGGAAAACAUUUUUAUUUGCAUUUUUCUUUUUUUGGGAGGAUGGAGUCUCGCUCUGUCGCUCAGGCUGGAGUGCAGUGGCACUAUCACGGCUUAUUGCAACCUCUGCCUCCUGGGUUCAAGUGAUUCCCUUGCCUCAGCCUCCUGAGAAGCUGUGACUACAGGCGCCCACCACUAUGCCUGGCUAAUUUUUGUAUUUUUAGUAGAGACGAGGUUUUUACCAUGUUGGCCAGGCCAGUCUCGAACUCCCGACCUCAAGUGAUCCGCCCACCUCGGCCUCCCAAAGUGCUGGGAUUACAGGUGUGAGCCACCAUGCCCGGUCUGACUUGCAUUUUUCUUUACUGUUAAGGGUGAAUAUUUUCAUACAUUAGUAGGCAACUUCAUCUUUUCCAUUAUUUUUAUCAGUACCUUUGACAAGUGCAGCGCAGCAUGGAGGAACACAGCCUCCUUGCACCUUUCGUUAUAUCUGCAUAAUUUCCCACUCGCCAGGUGCGUGCAUCCUCUGACAAAACAACCUUGUAUUUCCUUUUGCAAAUGAAUGGAGGCAGCCUAAGGUCACGUGGUAUGUUCCAGGCUCAUAAUAGAGGAUAAGUACACCUCCUUGGCUGUCAGGUGAUGUCUACAUUGUCUACAUUUUAGGAGUUGUUAUUCGUGUUUGUCAUUCCUGGGACCUUUCCUUCUGCUGGAGAAACUUCUUGUUUAGCGUCUAGAGUCAUGUUGGUGGGUCACAGAUUCCUUGGCUCUUUAUCAUAUGGCUUCUGAAAGAGACGCCAUCUGGUGUAAUGGUGGGGAAGGGAGAGCUAGCAGCUAAGAGACGUAGAUUCCUCCAGAAGCACCAGAGGGAGGGUUGGCGUUUUCUUUCUCCCGUGCCGGCCGCCACCCACCCGUUCCUCUUCUCUCCUUAAAGGGCAGUUCUGACCAGAGUAUUUCUCUGCUGCCUGCUGAUCUUAGCACCCACCAUCGUACUGUCACCUACUUUUAAAAAUGGACAGAAAGGCUGGGCACGGUGGCUCACGCCUGUAAUCCCACCACUUUGGGAGGCUGAGGCAGGUGGAUCACAAGGUCAAGAGAUCGAGAGCAUCCUGGCCAACAUGGUGAAACGGUCUCUACUAAAAGAAAAAAUACAAAAAUCAGCUAGGUGUGGUGGCGUGCACCUCUAGUCUCAGCUACUUGGGAGGCUGAGGCAGGAGAAUCGCUUGAACCCGGAAGGCAGAGGUUGCAGUGAGCCGAGAUCGCCUCACUGCAUUCCAGCUGGCCAACAGAGCGAGACUCCAUCUCAAAAAAAAAAAAAAAAAAAAAAUGUAGAAACCAGAGGCGAGAAACCAAAGGUGAGAUUCCGUGGCUCUGGGGCUUAAGAGGUUGUCAUUUUACAUUGUCCCAGAGAUUUUUUUUUUUUUUUUUUUUUGAAGGAAAAGGAUACCAAAAGUGACAAGAGCACACAGGGAGCUUUCAGAUGAGCUUGUGUUUUUCUUUUCUAAAAAUAUGCAAACAGUAGAAAGGCACACAGCCAAGGACAGAUGUAGAAAAGGCAGCGUCCUGUAGGGAUUGGAUGCCAAGCUUUUCAAAUAUUGUUCUCUCCUUGGAAUGUUUUCUUACCAUCUCUGCUUAUCAACAUCCUCCCCAGCCCUCUGGAUCCAGCCUACUGCUGUGUCAGCAAAGCUUUCCUCCUCCCUCAACUUCUGUCUCUCCGCUUGGCCUCCCGGGACACUUGGUUUCUGCCUCUCUUUAUCCAUUUCCUCUUCAUUUUGCCUGCCCAUGUACUGAUCUUUCCUCUCCUACUGGGUGUCCCUUUCUCUGGGAAGACUUCUGUGGCCCCCCUCAUGCCCACCCCAGGUGAGGAUGAGGCGCCCCUUCUAUGUACUCCCCAUGCUCCCCAUUGCCAUUCACCACUUUGUAACAUUAAGGCCCGACUGCUGUUUGGUCUCCCACAAGGCUGUUGUGAGAGGCAGAGACACAGCAGCUGACCUGUUGCCCGUUGGAUCCCAGCACCCAUCACAGUGCAUGAUGCAUCCACAGACCCAAAAGAGCUGUUGAGUGUUGAGUGCAUAGAUACAAGCUCCUGAGGGCAGGAGGUAUGUGCUUUUCUCUGUGUUUUUCACAUCCCAGCGCCCAGGGCCCUGUGUGCUGUGAGUAUAUGCAUACAUGUGCUGCAGGAGGGUGCGUGUGAGCGUGUGUGUGUGUGUGUGUGUGUGCAUAUGUACUCAUCCUGAGCAAGUUACUUGAUCUCCCUGUGCCCCAGUCGCCUGACCUGUACCUGCCCAUUGGUUGUUCCGAGGAUUAACUGUGACCAUCCCUUUAGAGUGCUCAGGACAGUUCCUAACACCCAGUAAGUAUUUGGUAAAUACUUGCUGUGACCUUUUCAGGUGGCACUGGGCCGGGGACAAGUGCAGAGUCUACCUCUGCAUUCAGCAGCCCCAGGGGACUUGACUUUUGAGUUCUAUUUAUUAUGAUGGUGGUGGUUUAAAUCUUCUUCCUCUCAGGCAGACCUUCAGCUGUUACUUUUCUUUUUCUUUAUUGUAAUCAUCUGGUCCUGAAAGCUGAAAGUCAUUACUUUUCAUUGUUGAUCAGAUCUCUGGCUUUGGCUGCUCCUUUCCUCAUAUUGGAUUAAUUGGUUAUUCGUGUGGAUAAUACUGUCUCAAAGCAUGAGUUAUUAUCUGGGUCAUGCCUCCUAAUUGGUGAAGGUGGCCACUUGGUUUAUUUGAGACAAUUCUAAGGAAUAAGGAGCUCUCCACACUAGUGUGAGGGCCCCAGGGCAAAGAUGUUUCCCUGCUCCUCAGAAAGUUCUCAGAGAACUUUGCAAGGUUUUUAUAAACCUUGCAAAGCUCCCGUUAUGAUGGGGAUGAGGUAGUUAUGCAUUAAAAAUAGUCAUAACAGUUAACAGUCCUAAUAAUAAUCUUUAUUUGGAACUAUCAGAAGUCUGAGCGCCUGUUUGAGAAAGAGUUUCCUUGGAUGAAUCACUGCAGGAAUAUGAGAAAGAAACAUGGCACUGUGAGAUCAAAUGUGUAGAUAAAUAAUCCCCUCGCCGAGCUGCAGUCACAAGUGAAUUUAAAGAUAGGAAGGGUUUUAGGGAUAUAUAAUCCAGUUUCUCCUCUCUUUACUUUUUUUUUUUUUUUUAAAGCUUUGGAGCUACUGCUGUAGCUGAAGGAGAAGAAGGGAUGGGAGCUGGCCUCACAGAGGCCUUGUAGAGCCACGGGGCCCCAGAGUCAGACGUUGUACCAGUCAUGCCAACAUCCAGGGCCACAUCCUUGCUGCUCCACCUACUGCCUCCUGUUGGGCAGCUGCAGCCGGUGCCCUUGGCCCUGCAUGGUUACUCCAUCAUGGUACUUAGCAUGUUUUAUUCAGGACACCUCUUUGGUACCAGCAUCCCUACUAGCACGCUAGUCCUGUUGGGAGCAGGACCUGUGUUGUCUCAGUCAUCCCUGCCUCUCUAGAACAAGUACAGAGGGGACACACCACGGGGACUCAGGAUAUGUGUGAUAACUGCAUGAGCCUUUUCACCUUUUGAAUCUCAGCAACCCUCUAAGAACAGGGACCCCAAUUCUAGCCUUCCAGACUGAGACUCGGGAGGCCUGGCUCUUGCCCUAGUCCCACCAUCCGCUGACUGUGUGACCUCAUCAGGUCUAGUGACAUUUGCGAGCCUCAGUAUCCUCAUUUGGAACACAGAGUACUGAUUGUCCUCCACAGUCUUUUACCAGGCAAGAGGCCCUUUUCUUCAGGGUGCCGGGUAAGCUGUCAUCUGCUUGGUAAGAGGUCAUGGUGUUGAGGUAACCAAGAGACCUGGGUGCUAGACCUGCCUGUGCUCUUUCUUUGCACGUGACUUAGGCAACUCACUUCCCUUUCUUGGACCUUGGUUUCUUCGUCUGUGAAAUGUAGGUGGUUAUCCGUGGCAUGUCUGUCUCACAGCAUGAGAGUCCAAGGGGACAAUGGCUGUAGAAGUAUUCUGAGACAGACAGCCUAGCACAGGCAGGAAGAGCUGUGAUGGUGACCAGCAGUAAGUAGUAGUGGUUGUAGCAGCAGCCGCUUGGCCACGUCCCAACUGAAUAAGGAAUAUGCCUCCCCUGCCACAGUGUCUGAAACUCUGCAGAAAGUUUGACUCUCCAUGAGCUUCCUUGAGCCCGGGGGAGAACCUGCCCUGCAAGCCGGGAGGAGGCUCUUGCCCCCACUCAGCCAUUGCCUCGCAUGUGGCUUUAGUUAUGUUUUGUCUUCUUUGUAGGUGUUGAUGUUCUAGACUCUGAAAUGGCAGUGUCAGACUAGACAAGAAGCUCUCACCAGAGACAAAGUGGAAACGGAGAGGUGUUGGUGAUUUAGGGGGCAGCGGGGCCAGAUGCACUAGACACAUUGCAAUGUGCAGGAUCGUCCUGUGCAGUGAAGUCUUGUUUUGCAUGUCCCACCAAAACAUGCGGUUGAAAAACUCAAGCCAGAGCUUGCUCUGUUUUAAGAAAAAGCACUUAUUUUUUUAACCAGGUUUAGUAUGUGCUGAAUUUUCUAGGAAUUUGACUACUGUGUAGGUCAAAAGAAAAUCAUACUUAAUUUUGUUUGUAACUUUACCAAGAGUUGUUUUCUGUUUUGGAAAGUCCUAUCUCCAGCAUCAUCACUGUGACGUUUCAGUCAUCCAUAGACCUCCCCUUCGUCACAUCCCAUUUGCAGCAGCAGCACUCCCAGUGGGUCUGUGGGUAGGUGCAAGUGUGGACCGCCUCCGUCUCCUAGUGUAGCUGGGUCUGGCCCUUUAUGUGUUGUAAUGCACAUUUUAUUAUAGACUACUUCUCUUUUCUCUCUCCUUUAUAGUACAUGUAAGGCAUUAUACUGAUCUUUUCCGAAUUUAUGUAGGUAGGUUAUGUAAUCUAUGAACUUCACUUCAGGAUAAUACAAGGAUCAUUACAAAACAUAAUAAUAAAAAGGGGACCAUUGGGCCUGAGAGGGUUGAAACUUGGGCUGGUUCCUUCCUGCAUUGCAUCUGUGUCUCGCCUGGUUGUCGCUUAACAGUGCCAUGUAGAUAGCACAGUGUCUGUCUCAUCUCACAGCCAGGAAAACUGAGCCCCAGAGGGAGGAAGUGAGUACUUAGCCCAAACCACUUCCUGAUAUGACCCAGUGAGGAAGAGCAGCCGGGAUGAGAACACGCUCCUCUUCUCCUCCAGUGCCAGGAAGUGUGGUGGGAGCAGCGUGGUCUAGCGGGAAGAGUGCAUGUCCUGUAGCCGGGCUACGCUGGGUCUGUGUGACCCUGAGCAAGUCACCUCCUCCAACAGCAGAUGGAGUGACACCACAGGCCCGUGGCAGCUCACAUGACACGAAGAUGCCCGGUGCCUGGUAUGUGGCCUUCAGGGCCGUGCCCCACGCUGCUCCUCUUUUUGUCCCCACAUCCAGCAGUUUUCCAUUAAACCACUGUAGGUCCUCUCAGAACUUACCAGAGUCAUAGUGUCAUCAUCUCCCAUUACUCCAGGAGAGCAGGGCCCUGGUGGCACUUGAAGCAAGACCCCAAGCUGAUGGCACUUGACCACAUAGUGGGAGUGAAUUUUAAAGAAAAUCCCCCUCAAAGGCUCUGCUGGUAUAGAAGGCAGAUAGUCUAGGCCAGGUAGGGCCAGUGAGUGGGAGCCAGGGAAGGAGGCUUGGGUGUCAUGUGACUGGAUUUACAUUUACAGAUGACAAAACCAAGACCCAGUGAGGGGGAGGGUGUGUGCAGGCCACAGGACAAGUCUGGGCAGAACCGUGGCCACGCCCAGCAUUCCUCUGCUAGCGUUCCCUCAUGAAAGAUCACUUUUUCGAGGCCAAGGACCAGAAAAGGACCAGGCUUUAGGAAGAGGGCCGAGGUGCAUGGAAAGCAGUGCUGGUGAGGAGAGGGUUGAAUAACUGGAUUUUGACUGUUUCUUCCCAUUUGGUUCUCACUAAUGAAAUCUUGUCAGACGUGCCCCUGCUGCUGGAUUGGGUGGGGGGUGGGACAGAAGCAUGUGUGGUCAAAGGCAAGUUUAUUUGCAGUUUGGGGGUUGAAUGCAGUGGAUUUCAAACUGGCUAUUUUGAGGAGUUCCAGGGGUCCACCAAGGUAUACCAGGGCCCUCGCCCUCAUGCAACCAGAGUAGUUCUUCAUCGAUUUUAUACAGUGAGACUCUGAAGAAAAGAAAAAGAAAAACCCCACAGCUUAGUGGGAGUCCGGGCGAAUUAAAACACAGGAUGAAGUGCUUGUUCUCUUUGGCUCUUGGAGCAUAAUGUACGUCCUUUUCCUACUUGGUUUGCGUGUAAUAACAUCAUUGGUAUAUUUCAAAAUAUGAAGCUCCUGGUGCUGGAUAAUAAAUGUUUUCCCAGUUUUUCAACCUCUUGUGUCCUUCAUCGAUGCCCAGUGGCCCAGUGGCUGCAACCUCAGCACAGUGUUAAGAGCGAGCCCCGGAAAGGGACUUACAGACAUACCUUCCCGGGAAGAGUCAGGCCCAGCUCCAUGUGCUCUUUGCAGGGGAGUGGAAGGUUGUUAAACCUCAUAGCUCUUGGAGAUGGGGCUGAAUUUUGCUUCUCGUAAACCUCUUUCCAUUGGAAAUUACCUAUCUUUCUCCCCUAAAGAGAAGGAAGUACUGGACUGUCUUCAUCUCCUUGGCUGCCGAGCCCAUUUGACACCUUGUGCCACCUGAGAAAAGGCAGGCCCAGCAUGGCCCUGCCUGAGGGGAACAGGACGGCAAGCCCCUGGCCUCCUGCCUGCUCCCAGCUGCCCUCUGGCGGCCACUUUCUGAAAGCUGGAUGUGUCUAUUUGCUGACCCACCCCUGUUCUCACUCCAGGGCUCCAGAUGUUGUAUCAGGCAGGGCCUUUGUACGCCUCCAUGCCAACAGCUACCCAAAUCGCACCGUCAGUCACACUCUUACUCAGGCUCUCCUGUGCCCCUGGCCCUUCUUCCCCUCUCACUUUUCCCCACACUUCUAAAAUCUCACUCGUCCUGUCAGAAUGUGGCUCCACAGAUGGAGCCUUUCCCAGCCACCCCGCUCCCUGUGACUUUGCACUCUGUCCUGCACUCCCACAGGGCUUUAUUUUUGCCUCUGUCCUAACAGUCAGCUGCCACUUGGCAUGUCCUGCUAUUCCCACUGCAUGAAUCUAGUCAGUUUGGAAAUUCAGAAAGUGGCCUCUUUGUCUCUGGACCCCAAAAACCCGCACAUCGUCUGCCUUAUAAGCUCUCAGUAUAUCCAUCCCUGGCUGCAGGAGCACACCAGGACCCAGAGGCUGCCGUGCCUGGAGCCCUGUCUCCUGACUCAGCCCAGGCCCCAGCUCAGCAUGGGACCAUGUCCAGCAGUAAAGGCUGUGCACUGGCCUGAGCCCCGGGUCCCUCUGACUCACUGGCUCCCAUUUUCACCACCUGCACUGCAUAUUCUCACCGUGUCUCCCCUGACACUCUCUCCCCUGAAGUGUUGUAAUGGGGUUGUAACCCAUCCACCUUCUCUUGUCCUUCUUCAGUCUGUCCUCCCUGGGCUGCGUCUAAAGGGGCCCCGCCCCUGCCCUCAUACACGUUCUCUCCAUACUCCUGGUCACCUUCUGCUCAUCCUUUGCCCUGCUGUUGUGAAGCCUUCCCGGUGUCCCAGGAGACCUCAGGCACCCCUUCCCACUCCUCGCACACUGCUGCUGUCCCAUUUGUUUGGACCCUGGGUUGGUUUGUCUAGACUGUGAGCUCCUCGAGGGCAGGUGUCUGUUUCUGUGUCUCGGGAGCCCUGAAGAGAGACUGACACAUCAGAGGUGUCUGGUGACUGAACAAGCUCCCAGCUUGCGCCCAUGUCGUAUUGUGUGCCUCGCGUAGCCUGACACUUCCUGCCAUCGCACCCUUCUCUGCAGACUAAGACGGAGUUCCUGAACCAAGACCGCUUGCUGGCCAACCUGUGAAACUGGGCUCAAGGUGAGGGGUGCUAUCUGUGAUUGAGGGACAUGGUUAAUGGAAUUGUCUCACACAGAAAUCGCACCCGUCACCUUGGCCUACUUAUCACCACCCCAAACAGAGGAGCACGCCUUCUCCAGCCAUAGCCUAUGGAAAGGCCUUCAGCUGCUGUGGCCCCAGGGGGGUGCAUACUGUGGAAGGAACUUCGGACGUGAACUCGGAUCUGGUUCCAGUACCAGCUGUGCCAGGAGUGUGCCCUUGGGCAUGUCACUGACCUUUCUAAGACUCAGUUUCCCCAUCUGUGAAAGGGCUGAAUCAGACCCACCUCACAGGGUUGUUGUGAGGGUACCAUGAGAUGAUGUUUGUAAACAUUCUUUGUCACCUCUAAAUUACUGUAACAGUUUGAAGUUACUCUUUUUAAAAAAAUUAUUUGCGAAGAUAACUAACAAUAUCAGCCGUGCACAGUGGCUCAUGCCUGUAAUCCCAGCACUUAGGAGGUCAGGGGGUCACUUCAGUGUGAGAGUUCGAGACCUGCCUGGUCAACAUAGCAAGACCCUUGUCUCUACAAAAGAAUUAAAAAUUAGCCAAGUGUGAUGGCAUGUGCCUGUGGUCCCAGCUACUCAGGAGGCUGGGGUAGGAGGAUUGCUUGAGCCCUGGAGUCUGAGGCUACAGUGAGCCAUGAUUAUACCACUGCACUCCAGCCUGGGCAACAGAGCAAGACCCUGUCUCGGGAAAAAAAAAAAAACAAAAAAAAACAGGUAACUAACAAUAUCAACUCCUGUGUGGUGCCAGCAGCCGUCACGUUGGGACACAGAGGGAAGCCAGGCUUCUUGGAUCCUGAUGGCCAGGGAACACUUUCUGAGGGAAGCGGGGCUUGAACCUGGGCCCUGCAGGGCUGGGGGUGAAUGGGGGGAUCUGAUGAGGAGGAGGACGGCAGCACCAGCAGAUCUUGGUGGUUUGGAAGUUCAAAUCAAGGUCUGAGAAGAGGCUCUGCCUGACCCUGGGGGUCUCCCUCGGCACAUUGGCAGCACUGUGCAUGCCUCACGGGGGCCCCUAAUUUCAGAGCAUCCCACCUGCAUCCUGCUGCUGCCAUUGUCCUCCUUGAAAGAGCUGCCGGCUUAUUGCAGUUUACAUCCCAGAGAAGAGAGGUCUCCUCCUUCCACCAGUCCCAGGAUUAUCUCCCUAACACUAAUGGCGAGAUUCCUUUGGAGUUUUAGUCUUCGUUGGUACAGCCCAGGCACCAUGUGCCCACUCAGGGUUUGAGAUAGGCAGUGGUUCAUUCCCCAGCCUUGCCUCACCAGCAGCUUCCUGACGCCUCCUGGUGGGGCUCAGGAAGCAGCCAGCUGAGGUGUGCCUGCCAUGGUCAGCACAGGGGUUGACAGAAGUGGCACAGAUUCUGGGGGCAGGUGACAGUACCAUGCCCUAGCUCCAGGCACCCGCUCCACCCUGUCACAUGGAGCAGCUGUGAAACCUUGAGCAAGCCAUUUCACCAUUCUAAGCCUUAGUGUCAUCUUUUUUUUUUUUUUUUUUUUGAGGUGGAGUCUAGCUCUUGUCACCCAGGCUGGAGUGCAGUGGUGCAAACUCAGCUCACUGCAACCUCCGCCUCCCGGGUUCAAGCAAUUCUCCUGCCUCAGCCUCUCGAGUAGCUGGGGCUACAGGCAUGCACCACCACGCCCGGCUAAUUUUUGUAUUUUUAGUAGAGACAGGGUUUCACCAUGUUGGCCAGGCUGGUCUUGAACUCCUGACCUCUGGUGAUCCACCCACCUCGGCCUCCCAAAGUGCUGGGAUUACAGGUGUGAGCCACCAUGCCCGGCCAGUUUCCUCAUCUUUAAAAUGGGUGUGACAACCACCUCACAGAGUUGUCAUGAGGCUCAAAUGAUAAAAUAGAUGGGACUGUGAUUUGUAAGCAUACGGCACCGUGAAUGCAAGUUGUUCCUGAAGUGCCCAAUCCCUAGAUAGACACUGGGAUCUCAUCCCUCAGUCGUAGCCAGAGUCACUUCAUUCUGGUGUGCCACCCCCGAGAGCUAAGCCGUAUACUCCUUACAGAAAGGAACAAACCCCUUCCUGGAUGCUCUUGCCUGGAUCUUGGCUCCCUGAGAUUGCAGGGAGAUAGCAGGAAUUACUUUCUCCAUUUUAAGAAGGAAGAAACAAAGGCUCACAGUGCUGAGAAACUUGCCCCAGGCCACUCUGGUGAAUGCAGAGCUCAAGGCCCAGAGCCCAGAUAUCCUGAUUUCCUGUCCAGGUCUCUGCCCAGUGGACCAGACUGCCUCUCAAAAGACCCUGCUCAGCUGGCAGCCCCCCAUCUUUCUAAACUGUAACCCGGCCUGGUCAGAGGUUGAUUGUUAAUAAACAUUUAACCUGCCCGACCUUUCUACCCACAUACCCACAUCUUCGAAAGUGAGGGAAGAAUUCAUUCACAGCUGUUUUCUUUUUUCUUCACGUAGCAUGUAUCAUUUCUGUCCUAAGGAAUGAGUUUUACAAGUAGCCUCCUGCCAGCUUCAGCUCAUAUAGGAUAAAAGCCAGCUCACAUAUUUUGGUAGAUAACCCCAGAGAUUCAGAAAGCCAAGUGCUGAACUUGAGAUACAGUUUCCAGUUUGAGAGUGGACAGGCUGCGAGUGUUUGAGGCUCUGCCCCCUGCCUAUCUGCUGCCUGCCCUCACUCAUCCACGUGUCCAUGCAGCAGGGGGGUUCACAGCAGCCACUGCCUGACUGGCCAGCUCCUGCACUUAGCCCACUCUGAUCCAUUCCCCGCAUAGCAAGCAGACUGCAUUUCACCUCUCACUCAGGUCUCAGUCCUUGCCCAGAACUCUAGGUUUUUAGGCUUAACUCAGAAUAUAGUCCACAUCCUUACCAAGGCCUGCGUAGCCCAGCAUGCUGUGGCCCUGGCUGUCUUUCUGAACUCACUUCCUCCCUACUCUCUACCUCUCCUCCUUCAUUCCAGUUACACCAUGCCCCAGAUGUGCCAGGCACGCUCCUAACUCAGGGCCUCUACACCCAAGGCCCCUUGUGCCCAGAAUGUUUUCUCCCCAAAACCUCAGGGCUCCUUCCCUCACUUCUUCCAGGCAUCUGCUUAUACCACCUAAUCACAGAGUUUGUCUUAAGAACAACCGACACACAUUCCUUUAAUUCUCAUUCUCUGCUGUUUUUCUUCCUACAUGUUGUAUCUUUGUUUGUUGCCUGUCUCUCCUCUCUAGAUAGUAAGUUCCAGGGGAGCAGUUUGUAUCCACAGCUAUGACCCCAUCUGUGAAUUACUGAGCAUCUAUUCUGGGCCAUGCACCAAAACACAAAGAUUAUGAAUAAGACUUGGUCCCUGUGUUCACAGAACUCACAGCCAGGUGGAGAGAGAGCCUUGUCAAUACAGUGUAUGUUAUGCUAUGAUGCAGAGAACACAGGGCUUCUUGCAGGGGAGGCUAUGGUGAAGGGGAGAGCUACUGGGAGAGCCCUGGGGGUGGGCAUGCCUGAUCUGAGUCUUAAAGGGGAUGGACAGACGUUCGCCAGUUAGAAGAGUAGCCCAAAAAGAAGCAAAAUAGGCAACGGCACAGAGGCAUGUGAACCUAGCGCUGCCAUUUUGGAUGCAUGUGGGAGAAGAGAAAGGGGAGGCUGAGGAACAAGCAGGACCAGGCCCAGAAGGGCAGGCUUUGAGCAUAACAUCCCAGGCUUAGCCUCAUGCCUGGAGCUGCGAGGAAGGUCAAAGAGCAAAUGAGAGCCAGGACUCAUAUUUAACUCUAAGUGGCUUCAAGUCUAUAUGCUCAGAAUGGUGCCCGGCAGGUAGGGAGCACUCAGCGGUGGGUGCUGCUCUCAUCAUCUUCCUCAUGCUUCCUCUCUAGCCCCUCAGGUGCAGAAAUUAAGUCCCAGUGAGAAGAAGUGAGUAGCUGGCCCAGGGUCAAAGGCCCGCUAGAAUCAGUCUGUUCAUCGUGUGGGGGAAGGAUUUGGGCCGGGAGGAGGGAAAUCAAGGAAGGAAUGAGGUGCCAAGCUUCAGAUGCCCCCACAAGGCAGCAAGUGUGAGGGGUGGAGGGGGGAUUCCUUUGAAGUCCAGUGUUGUGCUCUUAAAAUCCAUGCGUAUUUUGCCUAUUUGAACUGGAUUCCAGGGAAGGAAAGAGGGAAUGAUGGUGUAUUCCUGAGGGAGGGUGCUAAGGGAGUUGGGACAUUCAGGGAGGAGAGAGGUUUGGUGGGAUUGGCUGGGAGCAGCCAGGGCACCAGGACAGGCAAGCUGGAGCCUGAGAGGCCUCCAGUCCCAAAGUAAGGAUGAACCCAAUCCCAAGGUUCCCACGUGGAGCAGUGGAGAACCACAGUAGUUUCCUGGCCAAGGAAUGGCCUGGAAGACCAGUGCUUUCCAGAAUUGACUCUGUAAGCAGACUCAAUGGGAUAAGUGGAGGCAGAGAGGCCAGUUGGAGACCCUUGGAAAGCCCUCCAAGUGAGAGCAUGAGGCUUGGAUCUAGACAGGCCAGAGAGGAUGCACCUAAGAGACAGUUUGCGGGAGAGGCAGCAUUUCAUGGAGUCCGGCAAGGGGCCAAGCGAGGAGGAUGGCGGGGAAUCAAAUGAGCCUUACUUCUGUGAGAGGGCGCCAACUUGGUUUUCCCAUACCAAAGUUUGGGGUGGUGCCAAAUUUAGGCAUGCCUCACAGGCAUUCUCUGCACACUUGCUCCCUUCUGACGCCACACCUACCCUGUUCCAUCCCAUUGCCCACAGAGUUGAGUGCCACCUAGAGGGUAUCUCCUGGCAGACACCUGGUGUUACCAAGGCCUGUGAGCCAAGCCCCACAAGGAGUCUGGACAGUCCUCCAGGGCCAGGGCCCCGCGAACUUGCUGGAGUCAGGUGGGCAGGAAGAUUCUGAUAGGUUAGCUGAGCAGCCUCAUUAAAGAUUGAGGUGGGGAAGCCCACUUGAUUGCUGGAUGGUGUAUCAGUUACCCACUGCACCAGCCAGGUGACAGAGGAGAAGAGGUAAGUGGCCCAGUGCGAGAGGUGCCCCCGGCCUGUGCCGCGGAGCCCUGCCCGUGAUGGUCAGCAGGGAGUGGGCCUUCCACUGCUUUUGCUUCUGCCACUGGGACUGCACCGUGCUUUGCAGAGUGAGCUGUAGGUGAUGGGAGCCCCUCUCUCUCCUCCUUGCUCCUCAUGGGCCUCUCCUUUCACUCCCACCUGCUCCGGGGGUGGGGGUGGGGGUGGGAGUGCUGGAUCUUGGGACGAGUAUCUGUCACUGACCAACUGCGGGGUUUGCAAUGACAUCCUUGUGGAAGCGGCAGUGUGGAAGCAGCAGCUGGGUACUGGGAGACCUGAGCUUCUGUUCUAGCAGCACCGUUCACUGGAGACGCAUGACCUUGGGUAGCUUUUCUGAGCCUCAGUUUCCCCACCUAUAAAAUAGAGUUAAUAGGCCCAACCGUGGAUGAUUGGGCAGAUUAGUCACAAAAAAAAAAAAAAAAAAGCAAUGCAAUGAUGCUCGGUAAACCAUUAAGCAUUAAGAUGUGGCAGAUUUUUAUUGCAAUUUGUUCUGUUUGAGGUUCAUUUUAAGGUUAGUUUUGUGUCCUGAAAUAAGCAUAUUAGGAAGAGAGAAAAAAUGUUCUGCAGGGAAAACAACUCCCCUAAAGAACACAGCCUAGUGGGCCCAAACAGUGGGGGUGGGGUGUCCUGGCCUGGAAGCUGGAGACUGGGUCUAGCCCUGCGUUCCCCAUUUUGAACGUGAGCUUCGGCAAGCCCCUGCCCUUUCCCUGGGCCUUGGGACCCCUCUACACAAGGGUUGCUGCUCACCGGUACAUGGGCAGCACCAGGCCCCCUGCUGUCCUUUGUCAGAAUUCAAACGCUUUUCCUCUCCAGUAUCUCCUUUUUAGUGCAUGACUGCAAGGGCUGGUGGUGCUUCCCACUGUGGCCCUGGUCAGUCCCCUACUCUCUGAAGUGCCAUCCCCAGAUCUGUAAGUGAUGACCUUCCAACCUGACAGGUCUUUCAGACCCUGAGCUCCUAGACACAGCUUUACCUAUUGGUCACCAUGGAGCUGAGCUGUCUCUGCUAAGCCCAGGGCCAGGUAGGAGGGUCUGUUGCAGGAUUUCAGUGAGUCGGUUGGCUCUGGUAAUCUGAGCUUGAGCCUAAAUUCAUGUAGUAAGAACUCAGCAGAAAAGACUAGAAAAUUCACGCCGGGUUCCUGUAAGCAAGCAACUAAGCUGUCUAAGCUCGUGUUAGAAUAGGGAGGGUGACAGUCAGGUAUUUGUCUCCUCCUGAGCUGAGCUCGGAGGAUAGGGUUCAACACUAGCUGCCUUUGUUUCCCAAAGACAAAUGCAGAGCUAUUUGUUUAUUAACCAGGGCUGAGCAUCAGUGCACUGGGGUGGACAGAGCCCUGGGCCAGGUGACAUUUGUCAUGGGCUCUGGUCCCAGCUCUGCCACCAAUUCCUGUAUGGCUUUGGCCAGGUGAUGGUAAAGAUAGUGGCCAGACCAAGCUUAGCCCAGUUCACAGACUCCAUUCUCGCUUGGACAUUUGCUUGCUUGGUGAUAGGAAUGGCACCUGUGAGGAAAGCAGGGCCUUGUAACAAGAGGGAAAGGUGUGCCAGGGAUGGUCCAAUCUCACUGUGAAAUGAGGGGACCCUCUGGAAAGAGGGAAAGGUGUGCCGGGGAUGGCCCAAUCUCACUGUGAAAUGAGGGGACCCUCUGGAAAGAGGGAAAGGAGCCAGCCAGAAAGAUGGCAGAGCAGGGAGAGGCCUUAGAAGGACUUGGGACUCUGCCCACCUCAGACCAGGUGGCUGUCAUUUGUUGGCCAGAAAUUCCAUCAAGCAUCACUGAGCAAGUGCUGGAUCCUUUGUCUCUGGCACUCCUGGCAUCUCAGGUUCUAUCUUUUCAGGAGCCCCAGGGAGACUUCCCAUAGAGACUAACUGGAAACUGAGCCCAUCCCUUCCAUCCCAGAGGAGCUGGGGGCUGGUCUCCCAGAGCCUCAUAAAUGCUCAGGGCUGGGUAGGAGGAAGGCCUUCUUCAGGAGGAGGGGUCAGUAGUGCCUCGUCUUCUCUGCCUGCCUUUGGCUGUAUAAAUUAAUGCACUACCUCAGACAGGAGACACACCACUCCCUGCCUACCCUGCACCUGCCACACCUCGUGGGGAUGGAUUGCAGAGCAGGGAUUCUCCUCCAUAGGGACUCUUAGACAUUUAUUUGUUUAGAGGUAGUGCAUGAUUUGGAAAUUCAAAAAGGAAUAUAAGCCCACAAUCCCGAGAUAGCCACUGUUAACAUUUUAGUGUAUUUCCUCCUGUGUCCUUUAGAGUUGUAGAAAUUUAGAUCUGAUGAUCUUUGGUUCCACCCUUCUCACUUUAUAGAAAAUGGAAGCCCAGAGAGGAGAGGGACUCCCACACACCUAACUUACUGGCAGAGCUCCAGCACAGUUCACUCUGAAGGGGAUUCGUACAAUCCAGAACCGUCCAGAAGAGCACAGCCAAGGCAGGAAGGGACUGGAAGACAGGACGGGGACCAAGGGAGGCCUGGAGGGGAGUGCACUAGGGCUGUCAAGCCAGCACAGAGAGACGGCCUUUGUGGUCCUGACAGACCACUGGGGGCAGUCCUGGCAAGACAGAUUUCACCCUUUGGGAAGAAGACUUUGCCAGUGAGAACCACCCACCCCGACUAGGGCCUCGCACUCGAGGUCAGACCAGGUGGCUCCUAAGGCUCUCUGUACGGCCCUGAGAACCUGUCCAGCUCCUGGGAUACCUCUCCUGGUGCCACGUGGAUGGACAUUGAGGCAGCAAGGCCAUUGGGUGCUGGCAGUGUGCCACACUCCUGCCCAAGAAGGGGCUCUGCCAGGGGGCUCCGAGCUGCAGCUUCUCACACUCGCGCCGGGGCUGGGCUCCCCUUCUUGCUCUCUCUGUCUCUGUGCCCCGCUUGACCCUUCUUCUUCCAUGUGUCCUAUCCACCUGCGGUCUUGGUGACUCUGUGGAGGGCUUUAGAGUCCUCUGUUUUGGGGUUGAAGCCUGGCUUAACUGUUGACUGUUCAGAGGCCACAAAGAUGCUGCUUCAGUUCUCCAACUCUUCAGCUUUCUUACGGGUAAAGUGGAGCUCACAGCAGGAUUCCUAGGAUGAGGGAAGCUAAACGAGGUGGCGUCUGAGUCUCUGGCACAGGAUCUAGUACAUAGUGUAAUAGACACUCAAUAAACUUGAGUUCUCUCCUUA
Long non-coding RNA from Symphalangus syndactylus (siamang), 20102 nucleotides. RefSeq lists it as uncharacterized. NCBI's taxonomy places the organism in Eukaryota, Metazoa, Chordata, Mammalia, Primates, Hylobatidae. The record is from RefSeq and is a predicted model, not a curated record.